This 233-nucleotide ribosomal RNA is filed under the name uncultured bacterium. RNAcentral describes it as "partial 16S ribosomal RNA". It matches the Rfam family "Bacterial small subunit ribosomal RNA", at positions 539 to 769 of the family's 1533-position model. The record is from RNAcentral.
CGUUGUCCGGAUUUAUUGGGCGUAAAGCGAGCGCAGGCGGUUUUUUAAGUCUGAUGUGAAAGCCUUCGGCUUAACCGGAGAAGUGCAUCGGAAACUGGGAGACUUGAGUGCAGAAGAGGACGAGUGGAACUCCAUGUGUAGCGGUGGAAUGCGUAGAUAUAUGGAAGAACACCAGUGGCGAAGGCGGCUGUCUAGUCUGUAACUGACGCUGAGGCUCGAAAGCAUGGGGUAGC